UGUCCAGUAGCACCUUAGAGACCAGCUGAGUUUGUUCUGGGUAUAAGCUUUUGUGUGCAUGCACGAAACAAACUUAGCUGGUCUCUAAGGUGCUACUGGACA
Molecule: non-coding RNA, 102 nt
Organism: Podarcis lilfordi (Lilford's wall lizard)
Lineage: Eukaryota; Metazoa; Chordata; Lepidosauria; Squamata; Lacertidae
Source: the annotation of a GenBank genome assembly